Non-coding RNA from Ameiurus melas (black bullhead), 70 nucleotides. The record is from the annotation of a GenBank genome assembly. Lineage: Eukaryota; Metazoa; Chordata; Actinopteri; Siluriformes; Ictaluridae.
GGUGCCAUGUUUUAAUGGUUAGCACUCUGGACUUGAAUCCAGUUAUAUCAGUUCAAAUUUGGUGGAACCU